CUGGCUCAGGAUUAACGCUGGCGGCGUGCCUAAUACAUGCAAGUCGGAUGGUUAGCUUGCUAACCAUGGCGAACGGGUGAGUAACACGUAGGUAACCUGUCUAAGACACGAGGAUAACCAUUGGAAACGAUGGAUAAUACUGGAUAGGACAUUUGGAGGCAUCUUUGGAUGUUUAAAGAUUUAUCGGUAAUAGAGGGGCCUGCGGCGCAUUAGCUAGUUGGCGGGGUGAAGGCCCACCAAGGCGAUGAUGCGUAGCCGGACUGAGAGGUUGAACGGCCACAAUGGGACUGAGAACGGCCCAUACUCCUACGGGAGGCAGCAGUAGGGAAUUUUCGGCAAUGGGCGGAAGCCUGACCGAGCAACGCCGCGUGAACGAAGAAGUAUUUCGGUAUGUAAAGUUCUUUUAUUUGGGACGAAAAAAUUAAAAUUGACUGUACCAAAUGAAUAAGCUCCGGCUAACUACGUGCCAGCCGCAGC
RNAcentral lists this ribosomal RNA (477 nucleotides) under uncultured bacterium. RNAcentral's name for it is "bacterial SSU rRNA". It matches the Rfam family "Bacterial small subunit ribosomal RNA", at positions 19 to 518 of the family's 1533-position model. The record is from RNAcentral.